GACGAACGCUGGCGGCGCGCUUAACACAUGCAAGUCGAACGGAAAGGCCUGCUUUCCCUUGUGGGUUGCGGGUACUCGAGUGGCGAACGGGUGAGUAACACGUGAGUGAUCUGCCCCCAACUUGGGUAUAAGCCUGGGAAACUGGGUCUAAUUCCUGAUAGGACUGCAGGGUGGUGCCUGUGGUGGAAAACGAUUUUGUAGUGGGUGGGGAUGAGCUCGCGGCCUAUCAGCGUGUUGGUGGGGUAAUGGCCUACCAAGGCGGAGACGGGUAGCCGGCCUGAGAGGGUGGACGGCAACAUUGGACCUGAGAUACGGCCCAGACUCCGACGGGAGGCAGCAGUGGGGAAUAUUGCACAAUGGGCGGAAGCCUGAUGCAGCGACGCCGCGUGGGGGAUGACGGCCUUCGGGUUGUAAACUCCUUUCGACCGCGAGGAAGCCACCUGGUUGGAAGGGUGGUGACGGUAGUGGUAGAAGAAGCACCGGCUAACUACGUG
Molecule: ribosomal RNA, 494 nt
Filed under: uncultured bacterium
Lineage: Bacteria
Description: partial 16S ribosomal RNA
Rfam family: Bacterial small subunit ribosomal RNA
Source: RNAcentral